AUGCCCUUUCCACCUAAGUCAACUAAAAAGAAAGAUGAUGAAGAAUUUGAACGCUUUCCUGAAAUGUCGAGGCCAGUCUUUUUGCGUACUUGCUUGACUGAUAUCUUGAAAAUGCCUUCUUAUGCAAAGUAUAUGAAAGACAUCAUCACCAAUAAGAGAAAAAUACCGGAAGCUGAAAUCUCCACCAUGCUUGCUAAUUAUACUUUUAAAGAUGGAGUACCUAAAAAACUUGGAGAUCUGGGAAUACCAACUAUACCUUGCUCUAUCAAAAGAAACUAUGUGAAAACUGCUUUGUGUGAUUUAGGAGUUGGUGUUAGUGUUAUGCCUUUCUCUUUAUAUAAAAUACUUGAUUUGAAUAAACUCACACCUACUGAAAUAUCUUUGCAAAUGGCUGACAAAUCAACUGCCAUACCUAUCGGUAUCUGUGAGGAUGUGCCCGCUGUUGUUGCUAAUGUUACUAUUUUGACUGACUUUGUUAUACUUGAGAUGCCUAAGGACGACAACAUGUCGAUUAUCCUUGGUAGACCCUUCUUGAAUACUGCAGGGGCUGCUAUUGAUUGCAAUAAAAGCAAGGUCACUUUUCAUAGCAAUGGUAAUGAGCAUACGAUGCACUUUCCGAAGAAACAAUUCCAAGUGAAUGGUAUUAAUGUUAUUGAAAAAUCUCUGACAAUCACUAUUGGAAGUUUUCAAAUACCUCUACCUACUGUUAAAAAGAAAUAUGAAAUGCUUAUUGUUGGGGACAUCCAUAUCCCCGUUGAGGUAACUUAG
This 768-nucleotide ribosomal RNA is filed under the name Triticum aestivum (bread wheat). Its description in RNAcentral is "partial small subunit ribosomal RNA". Lineage: Eukaryota; Viridiplantae; Streptophyta; Magnoliopsida; Poales; Poaceae. The record is from RNAcentral.